AACUGAAGAGUUUGAUCAUGGCUCAGAUUGAACGCUGGCGGCAGGCUUAACACAUGCAAGUCGAGCGGGGGAAGGUAGCUUGCUACUGGACCUAGCGGCGGACGGGUGAGUAAUGCUUAGGAAUCUGCCUAUUAGUGGGGGACAACAUCUCGAAAGGGAUGCUAAUACCGCAUACGUCCUACGGGAGAAAGCAGGGGAUCUUCGGACCUUGCGCUAAUAGAUGAGCCUAAGUCGGAUUAGCUAGUUGGUGGGGUAAAGGCCUACCAAGGCGACGAUCUGUAGCGGGUCUGAGAG
RNAcentral lists this ribosomal RNA (294 nucleotides) under Acinetobacter baumannii. Its description in RNAcentral is "partial 16S ribosomal RNA". It matches the Rfam family "Bacterial small subunit ribosomal RNA", at positions 1 to 298 of the family's 1533-position model. The record is from RNAcentral. Lineage: Bacteria; Pseudomonadati; Pseudomonadota; Gammaproteobacteria; Moraxellales; Moraxellaceae.